This 451-nucleotide ribosomal RNA is filed under the name uncultured bacterium. Its description in RNAcentral is "partial 16S ribosomal RNA". It matches the Rfam family "Bacterial small subunit ribosomal RNA", at positions 354 to 796 of the family's 1533-position model. The record is from RNAcentral.
GUAGGGAAUAUUGCGCAAUGGGGGAAACCCUGACGCAGCAACGCCGCGUGAGUGAGGAAGGUCUUCGGAUUGUAAAACUCUUUUAUUAGGGAAAAAUGUCUAGGUGGCUAAUAUCCACUUAGAGUGAUGGUACCUAAGGAAUAAGCACCGGCUAACUUCGUGCCAGCAGCCGCGGUAAUACGAAGGGUGCAAGCGUUGUUCGGAAUCAUUGGGCGUAAAGCGCGCGCAGGCGGGUCAGUAAGUCAGGUGUGAAAUCUCGAGGCUCAACGCCGAAACUGCGCCUGAAAGUAUUGGUCUAGAGUAUCGGAGGGGACAGGGGAAUGUCACGUGUAGGGGUAAAAUCCGUAGAGAUGUGAAGGAACACCGGAGGCGAAGGCGCCUGUCUGGACGAUUACUGACGCUCAUGCACGAAAGCGUGGGGAGCAAACAGGAUUAGAUACCCUAGUAGUCC